UACGUAGGGUGCAAGCGUUAAUCGGAAUUACUGGGCGUAAAGCGUGCGCAGGCGGUUUUGUAAGACUGUCGUGAAAUCCCCGGGCUCAACCUGGGAAUGGCGAUGGUGACUGCAAGGCUAGAGUUUGGCAGAGGGGGGUAGAAUUCCACGUGUAGUAGUGAAAUGCGUAGAUAUGUGGAGGAACACCGAUGGCGAAGGCAGCCCCCUGGGUCAAAACUGACGCUCAUGCACGAAAGCGUGGGGAGCAAACGGG
RNAcentral lists this ribosomal RNA (253 nucleotides) under uncultured bacterium. RNAcentral describes it as "partial 16S ribosomal RNA". It matches the Rfam family "Bacterial small subunit ribosomal RNA", at positions 524 to 776 of the family's 1533-position model. The record is from RNAcentral.